RNAcentral lists this ribosomal RNA (253 nucleotides) under uncultured bacterium. RNAcentral describes it as "partial 16S ribosomal RNA". It matches the Rfam family "Bacterial small subunit ribosomal RNA", at positions 524 to 776 of the family's 1533-position model. The record is from RNAcentral.
UACGGAGGGGGCGAGCGUUAUUCGGAAUUAUUGGGCGUAAAGGGCGCGUAGGCGGCCUGGUCAGUCGAUUGUGAAAGCCCUGGGCUUAACCUGGGAAUUGCAGUCGAUACUACUCAGCUAGAGUAUGGGAGAGGGUAGUGGAAUUCCCGGUGUAGCGGUGAAAUGCGUAGAUAUCGGGAGGAACAUCAGUGGCGAAGGCGGCUACCUGGCCCAAUACUGACACUCAGGUGCGACAGCGUGGGGAGCAAACAGG